UUCCCAAGCAGAUGAUGCUACAUGGCCUCGGCAUGCCUUUGCUUGUGCCGUGACCGGUGCCUGGAAUGCCUCUGUUGUGCUUGCCCAUUGCACAGUGUACCCGGUGAAAUCCUGCUUAUCUUUGAAGCUUCACUUAAAUGUUGUCAUCUUCCCUCUGCGAACUUUGCUCCUGUGUCCUCAUUCCUGCUCUGUGUACCCAUGGCAUGUGCACAGGUUUUAUAGAGCUUAUUUUAUUGUCUAUCUUAUUUUAUUUUAUUUUUUAAAAGUAACGUCUACACCCAGUGUGGGGCUCGAACUCACAACCUUCAAAUCAAGAGUCGCAUCCUCUAUCAGCUGAGCCCGCCAGGCACCCCCUUCGUUGCCAUUUAUUGCUGUGAAAAACGGAAGACAACCUAAGACCUAGUGAGAGUGAGCGUUUCCUGACAGCUGACAGAACGGAAACCUCAGUCCUAUGACUGUAAGAAACUUCUUUCCAUGAACAACCUGGAUGAAGAUACCAAACCAAGCUGCGGCGGACCCCCUGGCUGCAGCCUCGUGAGCCCUCUGAGCAUGGAACUCAACAAGGCUCGAUUCAGAUUUCAGAGCCCUGGAAGCUGCGUGAUAAUAAAUCUACGUCGUUUUAUGUU
Panthera uncia (snow leopard) is the source of this 626-nucleotide long non-coding RNA. RefSeq lists it as uncharacterized. The transcript has 2 exons. The record is from RefSeq and is a predicted model, not a curated record. Lineage: Eukaryota; Metazoa; Chordata; Mammalia; Carnivora; Felidae.